This 1490-nucleotide ribosomal RNA is filed under the name Lelliottia amnigena. RNAcentral's name for it is "16S ribosomal RNA". It matches the Rfam family "Bacterial small subunit ribosomal RNA". Lineage: Bacteria; Pseudomonadati; Pseudomonadota; Gammaproteobacteria; Enterobacterales; Enterobacteriaceae. The record is from RNAcentral.
UUUUGAGUUUGAUUCCUGGCUCAGAUUGAACGCUGGCGGCAGGCCUAACACAUGCAAGUCGAGCGGUAGCACAGAGAGCUUGCUCUCGGGUGACGAGCGGCGGACGGGUGAGUAAUGUCUGGGAAACUGCCUGAUGGAGGGGGAUAACUACUGGAAACGGUAGCUAAUACCGCAUAACGUCGCAAGACCAAAGAGGGGGACCUUCGGGCCUCUUGCCAUCAGAUGUGCCCAGAUGGGAUUAGCUAGUAGGUGGGGUAAUGGCUCACCUAGGCGACGAUCCCUAGCUGGUCUGAGAGGAUGACCAGCCACACUGGAACUGAGACACGGUCCAGACUCCUACGGGAGGCAGCAGUGGGGAAUAUUGCACAAUGGGCGCAAGCCUGAUGCAGCCAUGCCGCGUGUAUGAAGAAGGCCUUCGGGUUGUAAAGUACUUUCAGCGAGGAGGAAGGCAUUGUGGUUAAUAACCGCAGUGAUUGACGUUACUCGCAGAAGAAGCACCGGCUAACUCCGUGCCAGCAGCCGCGGUAAUACGGAGGGUGCAAGCGUUAAUCGGAAUUACUGGGCGUAAAGCGCACGCAGGCGGUCUGUCAAGUCGGAUGUGAAAUCCCCGGGCUCAACCUGGGAACUGCAUUCGAAACUGGCAGGCUAGAGUCUUGUAGAGGGGGGUAGAAUUCCAGGUGUAGCGGUGAAAUGCGUAGAGAUCUGGAGGAAUACCGGUGGCGAAGGCGGGCCCCCUGGACAAAGACUGACGCUCAGGUGCGAAGAGCGUGGGGAGCAAACAGGAUUAGAUACCCUGGUAGUCCACGCCGUAAACGAUGUCGACUUGGAGGUUGUUCCCUUGAGGAGUGGCUUCCGGAGCUAACGCGUUAAGUCGACCGCCUGGGGAGUACGGCCGCAAGGUUAAAACUCAAAUGAAUUGACGGGGGCCCGCACAAGCGGUGGAGCAUGUGGUUUAAUUCGAUGCAACGCGAAGAACCUUACCUACUCUUGACAUCCACGGAAUUUAGCAGAGAUGCUUUAGUGCCUUCGGGAACCGUGAGACAGGUGCUGCAUGGCUGUCGUCAGCUCGUGUUGUGAAAUGUUGGGUUAAGUCCCGCAACGAGCGCAACCCUUAUCCUUUGUUGCCAGCGGUUCGGCCGGGAACUCAAAGGAGACUGCCAGUGAUAAACUGGAGGAAGGUGGGGAUGACGUCAAGUCAUCAUGGCCCUUACGAGUAGGGCUACACACGUGCUACAAUGGCGCAUACAAAGAGAAGCGACCUCGCGAGAGCAAGCGGACCUCAUAAAGUGCGUCGUAGUCCGGAUUGGAGUCUGCAACUCGACUCCAUGAAGUCGGAAUCGCUAGUAAUCGUAGAUCAGAAUGCUACGGUGAAUACGUUCCCGGGCCUUGUACACACCGCCCGUCACACCAUGGGAGUGGGUUGCAAAAGAAGUAGGUAGCUUAACCUUCGGGAGGGCGCUUACCACUUUGUGAUUCAUGACUGGGGUGAA